Molecule: ribosomal RNA, 116 nt
Filed under: Bacillus pseudomycoides
Lineage: Bacteria; Bacillati; Bacillota; Bacilli; Caryophanales; Bacillaceae
Also listed under: 2 other names
Source: RNAcentral
UCUGGUAAUGAUGGCAGAGAGGUCACACCCGUUCCCAUACCGAACACGGAAGUUAAGCUCUCUAGCGCCGAUGGUAGUUGGGGCAUUGCCCCUGUGAGAGUAGGACGUUGCCAGGC